This 30-nucleotide non-coding RNA is filed under the name Rattus norvegicus (Norway rat). Lineage: Eukaryota; Metazoa; Chordata; Mammalia; Rodentia; Muridae. The record is from RNAcentral.
UAGGAUGAACCUCUUUAUGUUUGAGCAGUC